Molecule: ribosomal RNA, 629 nt
Filed under: Bacillus wiedmannii
Lineage: Bacteria; Bacillati; Bacillota; Bacilli; Caryophanales; Bacillaceae
Description: bacterial SSU rRNA
Rfam family: Bacterial small subunit ribosomal RNA
Source: RNAcentral
UGCGUAGCCGACCUGAGAGGGUGAUCGGCCACACUGGCACUGAGACACGGCCCAGACUCCUACGGGAGGCAGCAGUAGGGAAUCUUCCGCAGUGGACGAAAGUCUGACAGAGCAACGCCGCGUGAGUGAUGAAGGCUUUCAGGUCGUAAAACUCUGUUGUUAGGGAAGAACAUGUGCUAGUUGAAUAAUCUGGCACCUUGACGGUACCUAACCAGAAAGCCACGGCUAACUACGUGCCAGCAGCCGCGGUAAUACGUAGGUGGCAAGCGUUAUCCGGAAUUAUUGGGCGUAAAGCGCGCGCAGGUGGUUUCUUAAGUCUGAUGUGAAAGCCCACGGCUCAACCGUGGAGGGUCAUUGAAAACUGGAAGACUUGACUGCAGAAGAGGAAAGUGGAAUUCCAUGUGUAGCGGUGAAAUGCGUAGAGAUAUGGAGGAACACCAGUGGCGAAGGCUACUUUCUGGUCUGUAACUGACACUGAGGCGCGAAAGCGUGAGGAGCAAACAGGAUUAGAUACCCUGGUACUCCACGCCGUAAACGAUGACUGCUAGUUGUUAGAGGGUUUCCCCCCCUUUAGUGCUGAAAAUAAACACAAUAAACCACUCCCUCCUGGAGGAAGUACCGCCCGCAAG